AAAAAGUAUAUAAAUAUUAAAUACAUAGUCAGAGAUAUACUUUUCAUGUAUAUAAUAUUAAUUAUUAUGCCUUACACUUAACAUUUUCAAGUUUCUAAAAUUCUAAACAUCUGCAGCAUAAAAGGUAUAUAAAUACACAUAGUCAGAGAUAUAAUUCUCAACAUGGUGUCACUCAUCAAAGUAUUACUUUUGGAAUAUUUGUGNNN
RNAcentral lists this long non-coding RNA (206 nucleotides) under Trifolium pratense (red clover). Its description in RNAcentral is "long non-coding RNA (TPRA_LNC004944)". The record is from RNAcentral. Lineage: Eukaryota; Viridiplantae; Streptophyta; Magnoliopsida; Fabales; Fabaceae.